Molecule: long non-coding RNA, 520 nt
Organism: Photinus pyralis (common eastern firefly)
Lineage: Eukaryota; Metazoa; Arthropoda; Insecta; Coleoptera; Lampyridae
Exons: 2
Source: RefSeq, a predicted model, not a curated record
UAGUAAACGAAAUCACGUUUAACCGAAACAGUCAGUGACCCAAAAGCAUGACUUUUGUAAAAAAUUGGAAUUAACAGUACUGGAAUUUGCAAAAUAAUCGUUGCAUUUUCUGUAUGUACGCUAUUAAUAGGUUUUAUUUUCCUUCCAUAUAUCCAUAAUAAAUAUAACUGCUAUAACCUACUGAGGAAAUAGAGGAAGAGAUAAAAGAUAUAUACUAUGAGGUUUUAGAGUAAAAUAGACAGCAUCCCAAAGGAAAACGCAUAGGUAAUAAUAAUGGGUGAUGCAAAUGCCACGUCUGAAAUGAAGAUAGUGGGAGGGGAAAGCAAGCACACGAACAGUAAUGACAAUGAUGUCGUUAGCAAUAGAAAAUAAUCUAAAAAUAAUGAGCACACAUUUCCAAAGAAACGACAUCCGAAAAGGGACAUGAAAAAAUAAUAAAAGUCAGAUCUGGUGGGAGUGCAAAUAAAGUUGAAAGAUACCUAUGGAAAGAGCAGAAAGGAAAAGAAGUUUAAGAAGGAAA